RNAcentral lists this ribosomal RNA (20 nucleotides) under Fusarium oxysporum. RNAcentral describes it as "partial 18S ribosomal RNA". Lineage: Eukaryota; Fungi; Ascomycota; Sordariomycetes; Hypocreales; Nectriaceae. The record is from RNAcentral. RNAcentral also lists the same sequence under 21 other names.
AACCAGCGGAGGGAUCAUUA